This is a long non-coding RNA of Lagopus leucura (white-tailed ptarmigan), 480 nucleotides long. RefSeq lists it as uncharacterized. Lineage: Eukaryota; Metazoa; Chordata; Aves; Galliformes; Phasianidae. The record is from RefSeq and is a predicted model, not a curated record. The transcript is spliced from 4 exons.
UCAGCUUGGUGGCCAGCGAGCAGCCGUUCGUGUAAGCGUCGGGCCGGACGUGGGCGGGGAAGCGGCGAGACAGGAUCUCCGCCACCAGCUUUUCCCAAGUCAAGUUUGAAAAGCACUCUGCACACCUGAAGAAAAUGAGUAUCUACUAAGCUGUGAAUGCUCUGAAGAACAUCUGUUAAUAUAAUUAUUAAAGUGACAUCUGAAAUUCAGUGAUGCCAGAUCCCACUCUGAAGUCUGUAUUGCAUCUACACCCACCUUAUCUCCCUGCCCUCACACAGAGACAUCAGCAGCUGGCUGCUAAAACCUUUCAAAUCUAAAUGCUUGCACCAUCUCUAUUAGAAUAAAAAUCUUUAAGCAAAGUACUGCAGAAAAAAAUUGUGCAAAUCAGGCUUGGGAAAAGCUUCCACAUUCCUACUGAUUUAUUGGUAAACAUAAUAAUUAACCAUGAAAUACCACAGAGAUGAAAAUAUGUUCAAAAUA